This 422-nucleotide ribosomal RNA is filed under the name uncultured bacterium. RNAcentral's name for it is "bacterial SSU rRNA". It matches the Rfam family "Bacterial small subunit ribosomal RNA", at positions 506 to 927 of the family's 1533-position model. The record is from RNAcentral.
UGCCAGCAGCCGCGGUAAUACGUAGGUGGCAAACGUUGUUCGGAAUUACUGGGCAUAAAGAGUUUGUAGGCGGCUUAAUAAGUCAGGUGUGAAAUCCCGGGGCUCAACUUCGGAACGGCAUUUGAUACUGUUAGGCUAGAAUAACGGAGAGGUGAGUAGAAUUCAUGGUGUAGCGGUGAAAUGCGUUGAUAUCAUGGAGAAUACCAAUGGCGAAGGCAGCUCACUGGCCGAUUAUUGACGCUGAGAAACGAAAGCUAGGGUAGCGAAAGGGAUUAGAUACCCCUGUAGUCCUAGCCCUAAACGAUGUACAUUGUAUGGUGGGAAUCUUGCAUUUUCACUGUAGCAGCUAAUGCGUUAAAUGUACCGCCUGGGGAGUAUGGUCGCAAGGCUAAAACUCAAAGGAAUUGACGGGGGCCCGCACA